RNAcentral lists this ribosomal RNA (253 nucleotides) under uncultured bacterium. RNAcentral's name for it is "partial 16S ribosomal RNA". It matches the Rfam family "Bacterial small subunit ribosomal RNA", at positions 524 to 776 of the family's 1533-position model. The record is from RNAcentral.
UACGUAGGGUGCAAGCGUUGCCCGGAUUUAUUGGGCGUAAAGGGCGCGUAGGCGGCUCUGCACGUUCGUUGUGAAAUCGCCCGGCUCAACUGGGCGGGGUCAGCGGAUACGGCAGAGCUUGAGCAAGCUAGGGGGCAAUGGAAUUCCCGGUGUAGUGGUGGAAUGCGUAGAUAUCGGGAGGAACACCAGUGGCGAAGGCGGUCUGCUGGGCAGUUUCUGACACUGAUGCGCGACAGCGUGGGGAGCAAACAGG